UACGUAGGUGACAAGCGUUGUCCGGAUUUACUGGGCGUAAAGAGCGCGCAGGCGGUCGUUCAAGUCGAGUGUGAAAGCCCCCGGCUCAACUGGGGAGGGUCAUUCGAUACUGAUCGACUCGAAGGCAGAAGAGGGAAGCGGAAUUCCCGGUGUAGUGGUGAAAUGCGUAGAUAUCGGGAGGAACACCAGUGGCGAAGGCGGCUUUCUGGUCUGCUCUUGACGCUGAGGCGCGAAAGCUAGGGUAGCAAACGGGG
This 254-nucleotide ribosomal RNA is filed under the name uncultured bacterium. Its description in RNAcentral is "partial 16S ribosomal RNA". It matches the Rfam family "Bacterial small subunit ribosomal RNA", at positions 524 to 777 of the family's 1533-position model. The record is from RNAcentral.